This 1264-nucleotide long non-coding RNA is filed under the name Hordeum vulgare. RNAcentral describes it as "long non-coding RNA (HVUL_LNC007850)". Lineage: Eukaryota; Viridiplantae; Streptophyta; Magnoliopsida; Poales; Poaceae. The record is from RNAcentral.
AAACAUUUUUCACAUUGUCUUAAUUUUUUACCAAACUCGCAACUCAGAUAUAUAUUUACCUCCACGAUUACAUCGUAGACAUAUUAUUCCAUUGUCACGACGAUCUUCAACUUCACUCUGAAAUUGCUUGAAGUUUUCAAUAUUUCACACUUGUAAUUCAUCAAGCAAAUACACAUGUAUCUACUCAAAUCACCAAUGAAGUAAGAACAUAACGAUAUCCACUGCGUGCCUCAGCACUCAUUGAACUGCAUACAUCAAAAUAUAUUAUUUCCAAUAAGUUUCUUGCUCGUUGCAUCACAGGAAUACGAGGUAUUAAGUCAUUUUGUUCAUGUGGCAUGAUUUGCAUGUAUCAAGUGAUUCAAAAUCAAAUGAGUCCAAACAAUCCAUCUACAUGGAGUUUCUUCAUGCGUUUACACUAAUAGACAUGGUUCACAUGUCUCAAACGAUUCAAAAACGAGUGAGUCCAAAGAUCCAUCAGCAUGGAGCUUCUUCAUGCGUUUUAUACCAAUAUGACUUAAACAAGAGUGCCACAGGUACGUGGUACUAUCAUUACUACUUUGUAUCUUUUGACAUUAAUAUUAUGAACAUGUGUAUUACUCCGAUCGAGAUUCAAUAAACGGCAACUAUUUGAAAUUGGAACAUUUUGCAAAAACAUUUUUUCAAAUUUGAAGAAGAAUUUUUUAUAAUUUUUCAAAAUCCCUGACGUUUCUUGAAAAUCCCAAACAUUUCUUGAAAAUCCAGAACAUUCCAUUAUAAAGCAAGAACAUUUUUCUGAUUUGAAGAAUAUAUUUUUGAAAAUCCAGAACAUUUUUGAGAAGACAAAACAUUUUUCGAAUUUGAAGAACAAUUUGUAAGAAUCCCAAACAUUUUUUGAAAAUCCAAAAUAUUUUUAAAAAUCCAUAACAUUUUUUAGAAAUCCAAAACUUUCCGACACCACUUCGCAAUGAGCGGCGAAUAGGCUUUUCCUUCAUUGAUUAAAAAAAAAGUUUUAGAGGUUUAAGAUGGCCGAAUUACAACAAUCGCUUUCACAGUUUUUUUCUUCUUCUUUUGUUCCACAAUAAGCUUUAGUUCUAAAUAAAUGCAAUCUUUCAAAGAACAUUGUGCAUCUGAAUUACCAUAUUACCUCUUCUUCUUCUUUUUCCCACAAUAAGCUUCAGUUCGUAAUAUAGAUUUUCAAAAGGACAUUGUGCAUCUGAAUUACCAUAUUACGUAUCCGAAGAAGAUCAAUCACAUCACAUCACGGAUAUAAGGCCUCGAAUAACGG